UACGUAGGUGGCAAGCGUUGUCCGGAUUUACUGGGCGUAAAGGGCGUGCAGGCGGUUUGUUAAGUGCAGGGUGAAAGCUCCCGGCUCAACUGGGAGAGGUCCUUGCAUACUGGCAAACUUGAGGGAGGCAGAGGAAAGUGGAAUUCCCGGUGUAGUGGUGAUAUGCGUAGAUAUCGGGAGGAACACCUGUGGCGAAGGCGGCUUUCUGGGCCUUACCUGACGCUGAGACGCGAAAGCGUGGGGAGCGAACCGG
Molecule: ribosomal RNA, 253 nt
Filed under: uncultured bacterium
Lineage: Bacteria
Description: partial 16S ribosomal RNA
Rfam family: Bacterial small subunit ribosomal RNA
Source: RNAcentral